UACGGGAGGCAGCAGUGGGGAAUAUUGCACAAUGGGCGCAAGCCUGAUGCAGCCAUGCCGCGUGUAUGAAGAAGGCCUUCGGGUUGUAAAGUACUUUCAGCGAGGAGGAAGGCGUUGUGGUUAAUAACCGCAACGAUUGACGUUACUCGCAGAAGAAGCACCGGCUAACUCCGUGCCAGCAGCCGCGGUAAUACGGAGGGUGCAAGCGUUAAUCGGAAUUACUGGGCGUAAAGCGCACGCAGGCGGUCUGUCAAGUCGGAUGUGAAAUCCCCGGGCUCAACCUGGGAACUGCAUCCGAAACUGGCAGGCUAGAGUCUUGUAGAGGGGGUAGAAUUCCAGGUGUAGCGGUGAAAUGCGUAGAGAUCUGGAGGAAUACCGGUGGCGAAGGGCGGGCCCCUGGGACAAAGACUGACGCUCAGGUGCGAAAGCGUGGGGAGCGAAACAGGGAUUAGAAUACC
RNAcentral lists this ribosomal RNA (458 nucleotides) under uncultured bacterium. RNAcentral describes it as "bacterial SSU rRNA". It matches the Rfam family "Bacterial small subunit ribosomal RNA", at positions 340 to 787 of the family's 1533-position model. The record is from RNAcentral.